CGGCGGACGGGUGAGUAAUGCCUAGGAAUCUGCCUGGUAGUGGGGGACAACGUUUCGAAAGGAACGCUAAUACCGCAUACGUCCUACGGGAGAAAGCAGGGACCUUCGGGCCUUGCGCUAUCAGAUGAGCCUAGGUCGGAUUAGCUAGUUGGCGGGGUAAAGGCCCACCAAGGCGACGAUCCGUAGCUGGUCUGAGAGGAUGAUCAGCCACACUGGAACUGAGACACGGUCCAGACUCCUACGGGAAGGCAGCAGGC
This 257-nucleotide ribosomal RNA is filed under the name uncultured Pseudomonas sp. RNAcentral describes it as "partial 16S ribosomal RNA". It matches the Rfam family "Bacterial small subunit ribosomal RNA", at positions 96 to 354 of the family's 1533-position model. Lineage: Bacteria; Pseudomonadati; Pseudomonadota; Gammaproteobacteria; Pseudomonadales; Pseudomonadaceae. The record is from RNAcentral.